GAUGAACGCUGGCGGCGUGCCUAAUACAUGCAAGUCGAGCGAACGGACGAGAAGCUUGCUUCUCUGAUGUUAGCGGCGGACGGGUGAGUAACACGUGGAUAACCUACCUAUAAGACUGGGAUAACUUCGGGAAACCGGAGCUAAUACCGGAUAAUAUUUUGAACCGCAUGGUUCAAAAGUGAAAGACGGUCUUGCUGUCACUUAUAGAUGGAUCCGCGCUGCAUUAGCUAGUUGGUAAGGUAACGGCUUACCAAGGCAACGAUGCAUAGCCGACCUGAGAGGGUGAUCGGCCACACUGGACCUGCGACACGGUCCAGACUCCUACGGGAGGCAGCAGUAGGGAAUCUUCCGCAAUGGGCGAAAGCCUGACGGAGCAACGCCGCGUGAGUGAUGAAGGUCUUCGGAUCGUAAAACUCUGUUAUUAGGGAAGAACAUAUGUGUAAGUAACUGUGCACAUCUUGACGGUACCUAAUCAGAAAGCCACGGCUAACUACGUG
This 497-nucleotide ribosomal RNA is filed under the name uncultured bacterium. RNAcentral describes it as "partial 16S ribosomal RNA". It matches the Rfam family "Bacterial small subunit ribosomal RNA", at positions 28 to 507 of the family's 1533-position model. The record is from RNAcentral.